Molecule: transfer RNA, 69 nt
Filed under: Beryx splendens (splendid alfonsino)
Lineage: Eukaryota; Metazoa; Chordata; Actinopteri; Beryciformes; Berycidae
Description: tRNA-His
Rfam family: tRNA
About the family: Transfer RNA (tRNA) molecules are approximately 80 nucleotides in length. Their secondary structure includes four short double-helical elements and three loops (D, anti-codon, and T loops). Further hydrogen bonds mediate the characteristic L-shaped molecular structure. tRNAs have two regions of fundamental functional importance: the anti-codon, which is responsible for specific mRNA codon recognition, and the 3' end, to which the tRNAs corresponding amino acid is attached (by aminoacyl-tRNA synthetases). tRNAs cope with the degeneracy of the genetic code in two manners: having more than one tRNA (with a specific anti-codon) for a particular amino acid; and 'wobble' base-pairing, i.e. permitting non-standard base-pairing at the 3rd anti-codon position.
Source: RNAcentral
GUAGACAUAGUUUAAACAAAACGUUAGAUUGUGAUUCUAGAAACGGAGGUUAAAGCCCUCUUGUCCACC